Molecule: unclassified non-coding RNA, 280 nt
Filed under: Hevea brasiliensis (rubber tree)
Lineage: Eukaryota; Viridiplantae; Streptophyta; Magnoliopsida; Malpighiales; Euphorbiaceae
Source: RNAcentral
CUGUAAUCUCUGGCGUCAGUAUCCGAUGGGCCUGAUAAUUCAAUCCCGUCGCGAUUAUGAUUAUGAUUAUCCCUUGCCCUAAUUGCCCAUCUAUUGUAAUAAAUUUCCCUCUCGUUUCUCUCGUUCCCGUCUCCCAAAUUCUCAAGCGAGUGAAUAGGACUAUGUUCUUUUAACGGACUUUCUGAAUUUUCCAUGUCGAAUCCGCGAUAAGUAUCAUCCACAUCUUCACCACAACUGUAUUUCGCAUCUCCUUCGGCAUUGUUGUUUGCACCGCCACCAC